This 497-nucleotide ribosomal RNA is filed under the name uncultured bacterium. RNAcentral's name for it is "partial 16S ribosomal RNA". It matches the Rfam family "Bacterial small subunit ribosomal RNA", at positions 28 to 507 of the family's 1533-position model. The record is from RNAcentral.
GAUGAACGCUGGCGGCGUGCCUAAUACAUGCAAGUCGAGCGAACGGACGAGAAGCUUGCUUCUCUGAUGUUAGCGGCGGACGGGUGAGUAACACGUGGAUAACCUACCUAUAAGACUGGGAUAACUUCGGGAAACCGGAGCUAAUACCGGAUAAUAUUUUGAACCGCAUGGUUCAAAAGUGAAAGACGGUCUUGCUGUCACUUAUAGAUGGAUCCGCGCUGCAUUAGCUAGUUGGUAAGGUAACGGCUUACCAAGGCAACGAUGCAUAGCCGACCUGAGAGGGUGAUCGCCCACCCGGGAGCGGAGACACGGUCCAGACUCCUACGGGAGGCAGCAGUAGGGAAUCUUCCGCAAUGGGCGAAAGCCUGACGGAGCAACGCCGCGUGAGUGAUGAAGGUCUUCGGAUCGUAAAACUCUGUUAUUAGGGAAGAACAUAUGUGUAAGUAACUGUGCACAUCUUGACGGUACCUAAUCAGAAAGCCACGGCUAACUACGUG